This 241-nucleotide long non-coding RNA is filed under the name Zonotrichia albicollis (white-throated sparrow). RNAcentral's name for it is "lncRNA (ENSZALG00000002231.1)". Lineage: Eukaryota; Metazoa; Chordata; Aves; Passeriformes; Passerellidae. The record is from RNAcentral.
GUCGCCUUAGAUUCAGCCGAGUGUCCCAAAGUGGCAGAGAGCUGGAGAUGUCAACAGAUUGCGAUGCCUUCCGGUAGGGGCACAAUGCUCUGCGCUCAGCAGGGAGGACCAACAUCAACAGCUGUGAUAGAAUUGAUCAAUUCUUUGUGAAACCAAUUGUACUGAUAUCUCAGCUCUCCUGCUGUUAUUACCGGGAGAAACAGGAUGAUAAUCUGCUGCAAAAUCCCCAUGAUAGUGUGAA